This 238-nucleotide long non-coding RNA is filed under the name Homo sapiens (human). RNAcentral describes it as "non-protein coding lnc-BICDL1-3:1". Lineage: Eukaryota; Metazoa; Chordata; Mammalia; Primates; Hominidae. The record is from RNAcentral.
ACUAGAUUCUGAUGCUUCCAAUUAUUUCAGUUUGGCAUCAAAAAUUAUUCCCCACCCAAGACCCUGGCACUGACUUCUGCAGAACAGGACCUAUUUGUUAGGUAAAAACUUUGGGCGGGGUGCAUUGGCUCACACUUGUAAUCCCAACACUGAGAGAUGCAGAGGCAAAAGGAUAGCUUGAGCCCAGGAGUUUGAGUCCAGCCUGGACAACAUAGCAAGACCCCAUUCUCCACAGAAA